Molecule: ribosomal RNA, 501 nt
Filed under: uncultured bacterium
Lineage: Bacteria
Description: partial 16S ribosomal RNA
Rfam family: Bacterial small subunit ribosomal RNA
Source: RNAcentral
AUUGAACGCUGGCGGCAUGCCUUACACAUGCAAGUCGAACGGCAGCACUGGUGCUUGCACCUGGUGGCGAGUGGCGAACGGGUGAGUAAUGCAUCGGAACGUACCUUAUCGUGGGGGAUAACGCAGCGAAAGCUGUGCUAAUACCGCAUACGCCCUGAGGGGGAAAGCGGGGGAUCGAAAGACCUCGCGCGAUUAGAGCGGCCGAUGCCUGAUUAGCUUGUUGGUGGGGUAAAAGCCCACCAAGGCGACGAUCAGUAGCUGGUCUGAGAGGACGAUCAGCCACACUGGGACUGAGACACGGCCCAGACUCCUACGGGAGGCAGCAGUGGGGAAUUUUGGACAAUGGGGGCAACCCUGAUCCAGCAAUGCCGCGUGAUGGAAGAAGGCCUUCGGGUUGUAAAGCUCUUUUGUCAGGGAAGAAACACCGGCUCUAACACAGUCCGGGAAUGACGGUACCUGAAGAAUAAGCACCGGCUAACUACGUGCCAGCCGCCGCCGUAA